CAACCCUCUCUUCAGCCCAGUUCCCAGAGCCACUCACCACGUGGCAAGGGACAGAAGGAGGUUUCUGGCUCUGGGCUAUUCUAUCAAGAAGGGGUGUGGUGUCAUGGCGAUGCUGUUCCUCCAGCUGCGAGAACAAAGCACCUUUUCUGGAUGAAAGCCUCUUGGCCUCUUCUCUGUACACAGAAGGUGCCCAGAUAUAGAGGGAAGAGAUGGGAGCCAGGACUGAAGACUGCCCUGUGGUUUCCAGGAAAGUCUGUGGAUUCUAUUGAGAGCCAUGAUUAAGAAGAACCAGAUUCUCAUCUACCAGUGUCGCUAGCUGUGCUGGGCAGUUCAGGGCAGGGGACUCAGUGUCGCCCCUCCGGAUGUGGCUCCACCAGGCCAGCAAAAGACACAGUGACGGGGCGGGCUGGGGGAGCAGAAAUGCCUGAGACCAGAAGUGCCAUCACGAUGAAGCACUGUGCUGUGGGACUCUGGAAAUGGGGAAGGUACUCUCAGUGGUAUCAGGCUGGAGAAAGGCAAACAGGCAAAUGAGUAACUUAUUUUGCUUUUUAUUUUUAUGUAUUUAUUUUUGCUUUAUUCCUUUCAUCUGGGAAUGUCAAGAACUCACCUGGAAUGAACUUCCCGUCAACAUGGCAUUUGAAAGCUGCAAGGAGCUCAGAGCUCAGCUAGCUCAGCUGGGAGGGGAACGGGCAGUGAGCAUGGUGGGCCAGUGCCUGACGCAGCUUUGCCAACCGGACCCUCUGUUUUCCAAGGCAACCCUCCCGGUCAGCAGCCUCAGCUCUCAGGUAUGGGCUCCCGACACUGUGCCAUCUGGACUCUUUUUGUUGAGAGGAACCAAGUCUCAUUUAGGUCACCUCAACCCAUGGGUUGACACUGGUAUUUUAAGAACACAUACGACUCAAAGAAAGAGGAACAAUCAGGCCUUUUCUAAACACUGGGGCUGUGGUAACAGGUGGGCCAGGCAGGCUGGCCUGGACGGUUCUUUGAGCUGCUGCUGCAGGCCCUGCUGUCUGUGCCGCCUCCAACCACCUCCUUGCUCUACUUCCCAGGGCUGGGGCCCCGCACAGCAGACCAGGGCCACCCCAUUUGGCGGGAGCAGGUGGGAAGUUUGUCUUAGUGAGGAACGGAGGCCGUGGCGAGCGCCGUGGUUGCUGGGUCCGAUGUGUAGAAAGAAGCACUAUUUUAUCGGAAUCCCUGACAACCUGGAAGUGCCUUUGUGCAGGAAGGAUGAGGGUGAACCAGUCUGGGAUCCUCCAUCACCCAGAACACAGACAGAUUCAGCGGUGAGAGGAAACGAAUGUGCUUUUUUGUAG
This 1313-nucleotide long non-coding RNA is filed under the name Callithrix jacchus (white-tufted-ear marmoset). Its description in RNAcentral is "lncRNA (ENSCJAG00000077906.1)". Lineage: Eukaryota; Metazoa; Chordata; Mammalia; Primates; Cebidae. The record is from RNAcentral.